Molecule: ribosomal RNA, 493 nt
Filed under: uncultured Beutenbergiaceae bacterium
Lineage: Bacteria; Bacillati; Actinomycetota; Actinomycetes; Micrococcales; Beutenbergiaceae
Description: bacterial SSU rRNA
Rfam family: Bacterial small subunit ribosomal RNA
Source: RNAcentral
UAGACGUUUGACUCCUGGCUCAGGACGACGCUGGCGGCGUGCUUUACACAUGCAAGUCGAACGAUGAUGCCCAGCUUGCUGGGUUGAUUAGUGGCGAACGGGUGAGUAACACGUGAGUAACCUGCCCCAGACUCUGGGAUAACUCCGGGAAACCGGGGCUAAUACUGGAUAUCAACUUUUGCCUGCAUGGGUGGUUGUUGAAAGGGUUUCUGGUCUGGGAUGGGCUCGCGGCCUAUCAGCUUGUUGGUGGGGUGAUGGCCUACCAAGGCGAUGACGGGUAGCCGGCCUGAGAGGGUGACCGGCCACACUGGGACUGAGACACGGCCCAGACUCCUACGGGAGGCAGCAGUGGGGAAUAUUGCACAAUGGGCGAAAGCCUGAUGCAGCGACGCCGCGUGAGGGAUGACGGCCUUCGGGUUGUAAACCUCUUUCAGUAGGGAAGAAGCCGCUUGCGGUGACGGUACCUGCAGAAGAAGCGCCGGCUAACUACGUG